AUUUCAGGCCUAGGUAAGGGAGUGGGAGGCCUGUGGACCAAGUGGAAGAGGAGUGUAGGGGGGCAUUCACUCCCGCUGUGCCUGAGUUCCACCGCAGGCCCAGGGCCAGAGCCCGGGAGGUGGGAGGGCAGGGGUCCUCCGAGGAGCUGCCGGCCCACGAUCGCCCCGGGGGCAGGCGGGAGGGAGGGAGGGAGGAGAGGCGGGGCCAGGGCUGGAGGGCGGCGCUUGCGGGGACCGGGCUGCUCCGGGCCCUGGGGACCCCUGCGCUUCGCUCACUCCUCCCCCGCCGGGGCUCCGCGGGCCAGCGCUGCGGCCGCCAGGGUGCGCCCCCCCGCCCCGCCCCGCCCCGCCGCCGUCCCCGGCCCGCUCCGCCCGAGCCCCCCCUCGCCGCGCUGCGCGCUCCGCCCGAGCCGCCGCCGCCGCCGCCGCGUGCUCCCGCUGUCUCCUCGCUCCAGCCGAGCGAGCCGGAGGAGCCGGGGAGAGGGAGAGAGCGAAAGGGGGAGGAGAGAGGGAGAAGGAGGGCGGGAGGGAGGGGAGCAGAGGGAGAGGAGGCGGCGGCGAGCAGGAGCGAGCGCGGAGCGCCGAGCCGCGGGGCAGCUCCGGAGCCGGGAGCCUCCUCGGACAGCCGCCCGCCCCGGCCCGGCCCGGCCCCGCUCCAGCGCCCGCCCGCUCGGAGGACACGCGGCCGCCGCCGCCGAGCCCGGCCCGCGCCCCUCGCCGCCCGCUCCGCUGCCCGCUCGGGGCCGGGAUGCAGCCGGGGCAUGGCCGCCGGGCCCCCGUCACCUGCCGCGGGGAGCGCUGAGCCCGUUGAGAAUCUCAGGUCCCUGAGAACCUGAAGCUUUUCCUGCUGAUUCUCACUAUUUCUCAGCAAAUUUCUACCCGAGAAAGUUCCAGAAAGAACCCCGUGGGAGGCCUCCCUGCUGCAGUGAAGCAGGCCUCACCCACCACUACCAGGUGAGGUCGCCGCCGGCCAGGACAGUCCUUAGCAUCUGCAUUUGCAACGGAAAAAUGUUUUAUUGCCACGAGAGAAUGGCAGGGUGGGGAUGUCCUGCUUGCUGUGGUGUGAGGACCGCCGUCCGUGUCUUUUGUGGGCUCAGGGGCAGGAUGGGGAGCGUCGGCAGGCCCCCGGUGGGGGGGAUGCUGGCCUGAAUCUGUAAGGAGGGCCUGCUCUCCGUGAAAUCCCUCAGCCUGGCUGCAGAGUUUUCCCCUGGGAAGGCAGGGGGACAGGGUGUCACGUCUGCUGUGUGGUGUCAGCACAGAAUGCUGCAGAGGCCAGGUCUGACCUUCCCCUGCCCAGAUCUCCCUGCAGCCCAGCAAGCGGCUCUAAUGCCUCCAGCAGGCCGUGUGCGUGCUUGCUCCAUUCCACUUCACCUGUGGCAGGAAGCCCCCGGGGUCAGCGGGUUAGCAGCAGACCCCUAUAGGCUCGGGGCCCUUUGCCCUUAGGGCCGCCCCACUUCAGACGCCAGCCACAAGCCUUGGGAGCCACUUGCACUUCUGACCUACCAGCUACAAAUCCCCAUGACCUUCAGUUUUGAUAAUUUGCUAGAAUGACUCUCUGAAUUUAAGAGCCAUAUCGACGGCUACAUUUUUAUGAUGCAGGACACACGGGGACAAGGUCUGCCCUCACCCUGUAGGGAUAGGACAGGUCACUCUCCCAGCACAUCCACGCGUUCACCCGUCACAAAGCUCCCUGAGCUUCGGACGUCCGGAGUUUUACUGGAGUCCUGUUAUGUCAUCAGCCACAAGGCUGGACCGUGGCUCCUGCCCCGCUCUCCUCCCACUGCCCGGGAAGGCAAAGCACCAGUUCUCCCAUAGGUGCCUGUCUACGGACCCGCCCUGAGCCACCCAGUCAGCAGGAAGCCAGACCUGGGAAUAACAGACCACACUCCCAUCCCUCAGGAAUUCCAGAGGUGUUAGAGGUUACCUCCCUGGAACCAGGGACAAAACCCAGACACGUUCUGGACCCCAUCACCAGGAAGCUCGGUGCAGCCCCGCUCCCUGCAGAGAAGCUGCACAAAACCGGAGGGUCGGGCUCACCCGAGGCGGGGCAAGAAGGACUUGAACCCCUCGCACCGCAGUCCACCAUGUGCUCAUCCUGCCCUGGGCGGAGCAAAUGAUGCCAAUAAGAGUUCUGGGCAAGGAGACAAGGACACAGGCCGGUCCCUCCAGUAUCCCUCAAAAGGUGCCCGCUUUCAUGUGCACAGAGUGAGGUUCUCUGCCAGGCCUGGGGCAUCUCCGGGGAUGCACUGCUUACUUCCUUUUCCUGACGGAAGUGGGCUCCCUGCCUCGGGGUGUUUGGGGCCUGCUUCUUGUGGUGGGUAGAUGUGCACUGACUGAGCCGCAUGCUGGCAUUCAGCCGUCCUCGAGGGCCCCCAAUGCACUGAGCCUGUGGUGCAGGCGGGAGACCCAGCGGACACAAGCCAAGCCCUUGCCGUUCACGUGCUAGUGGGACGAACGCACCUGUAGAGUAGUGUCGGGUAGUGCUGAGGCUCUGUGGAAAGGUGGUCAAGGGCAAUAGAGGGUGGCGGAGGCUGCUGUUCCCCUGGGACAGUCCUGGGCAGGACCUGGAGGCUACUGCUCGGGGCACAGGCUGAGGGGAGCAAGGGUGGCAACCAGCUGAGCCCUGUGGAGAGUGGUUCAGGCAGAGGGUCUGGCUAGUGCAAAGGCCCUGAGGCAUGCUGGAGAAGUAGCAAAGAAGACUGGCCUGCCAGGGCCAAGUUGGGGAGCAGGGUAGAAAGUGUAGCACCUAAAUUCAGAAGUUUUUAGGCCAAGAAUAAGGAUUUGGGGUUUUUGUCUUAAAGAUGGUAGGAGCUACAGAAGGGAUUGGAUCACCAGAUUUGAGUUAGAUGUGGAUGACGUUGCCUUCUGUGUGGGGAAUAGAUGGGGAGGGAAGUCAGAGCAUAAGCAGGGUACCUCAGGGAGGCUGGGGCUUGUCCCCGGGAGUGGUGGGUGUGCCACGGCCCCAGAAUGAGAAACGUGGGUCUGUGGACAUGUUUGAGGUGAGAAUUUCAAACAACUGCCCUGCUAUGCUGAAAUGACUGCUAUUCCACUGCUGAACCUUGGGGUUCCCUUAGAGAGCCUGCAGAGGAAGGUCAGACACCGGGACAGGGACAGGGGAGCCAGGCCCUGUGAUGGCUCAGAAGGUCUCCAUCCCUCGGGACCUUCUAAAUCCUUCAGUGCUGCGGGUCCCCUUAGAGGGCACGUAUGGCUUGUGACUGACCUCCGUGUGGGCCAGGCCACCCUGCGGUCAUUCCCUGUCCCCAAAAUCUCAGGACCCUGGUUCUAAAGCAAGCAUAUGUGGUGCUGUCCCUGGAGGCAGCAGAGCGCCGACAUCCUGCGGGCAGGUGACUCUUGGAAGAGGCUUUUCCUCUGAAGGAGGUUGCAGGGCCUCAGGUGAAAAGGUCAGUUUUGGGGGUUGUUGGAGCCAGAAGCACCAGACUGGCUGGUGGGUGAUGGCAGUCCUGGGAAUUCGGCGCUCAGUGGGGCCUGUGCAAGUUGCUUUCCACCUGCAGCUGCUUCUCUCCUUCCAGCCCCUUGUUGGUUGAACAAAGUCUCCCUCCGAAAUUGUGCAGUGGGCAGAGGGUGU
RNAcentral lists this long non-coding RNA (3586 nucleotides) under Canis lupus familiaris (dog). Its description in RNAcentral is "lncRNA (ENSCAFG00040002854.1)". The record is from RNAcentral. Lineage: Eukaryota; Metazoa; Chordata; Mammalia; Carnivora; Canidae.